AGUGAACGCUGGCGGUAGGCCUAACACAUGCAAGUCGAACGGCAGCACAGUAAGAGCUUGCUCUUACGGGUGGCGAGUGGCGGACGGGUGAGGAAUACAUCGGAAUCUACUUUUUCGUGGGGGAUAACGUAGGGAAACUUACGCUAAUACCGCAUACGACCUACGGGUGAAAGCAGGGGAUCUUCGGACCUUGCGCGAUUGAAUGAGCCGAUGUCGGAUUAGCUAGUUGGCGGGGUAAGGGCCCACCAAGGCGACGAUCCGCAGCUGGUCUGAGAGGAUGAUCAGCCACACUGGAACUGAGACACGGUCCAGACUCCUACGGGAGGCAGCAGUGGGGAAUAUUGGACAAUGGGCGCAAGCCUGAUCCAGCCAUACCGCUUGGGUGAAGAAGGCCUUCGGGUUGUAAAGCCCUUUUGUUUGGAAAGAAAAGCAGCAGGUUAAUACCCCGCUGUUCUGACGGUACCCAAAGAAUAAGCACCGGCUAACUUCGUG
Molecule: ribosomal RNA, 492 nt
Filed under: uncultured bacterium
Lineage: Bacteria
Description: partial 16S ribosomal RNA
Rfam family: Bacterial small subunit ribosomal RNA
Source: RNAcentral